CCUACGGGUGGCAGCAGUGGGGAAUAUUGCACAAUGGGGGAAACCCUGAUGCAGCGACGCCGCGUGAGUGAAGAAGGAUUUCGGUAUGUAAAGCUCCAUCAGCAGGGAAGAAAAUGACGGUACCUGAUGAAGAAGCCCCGGCUAACUACGUGCCAGAUGCCGCGGCAAUGCGUAGGGGGCAAGCGUAAUCCGGAUUUACUGGGGGUAAAGGGAGCGUAGAGGGCAGCACAAGUCUGGAGUGAAAUGCCGGGGCUUAACCCCGGUACUGCUGUGGAAACUGUGCAGCUAGAGUGCAGGAGAGGUAAGUGGAAUUCCUAGUGUAGCGGUGAAAUGCAUAGAUAUUAGGCAGAACACCAGUGGCGAAGGCGGCUUACUGGACUGUAACUGACGUUGAGGCUCGAAAGCGUGGGGAGCAAACAGGAUUAGAUACCCGAGUAGUC
RNAcentral lists this ribosomal RNA (440 nucleotides) under uncultured bacterium. Its description in RNAcentral is "partial 16S ribosomal RNA". It matches the Rfam family "Bacterial small subunit ribosomal RNA", at positions 338 to 795 of the family's 1533-position model. The record is from RNAcentral.